GAUGAACGCUGGCGGCGUGCCUAAUACAUGCAAGUCGAGCGAACGGACGAGAAGCUUGCUUCUCUGAUGUUAGCGGCGGACGGGUGAGUAACACGUGGAUAACCUACCUAUAAGACUGGGAUAACUUCGGGAAACCGGAGCUUAUACCGGAUAAUAUUUUGAACCGCAUGGUUCAAAAGUGAAAGACGGUCUUCCUGUCACUUAUCGAUUGAUCCGCUCUGCAUUAGCUAGUUUGUAAGGUAACGACUUACCAAGGCAACGAUGCAUAGCCGACCUGAGAGGAUGAUCGGCCACACUGGAACUGAGACACGGUCCAGACUCCUACGGGAGGCAGCAGUAGGGAAUCUUCCGCAAUGGGCGAAAGCCUGACGGAGCAACGCCGCGUGAGUGAUGAAGGUCUUCGGAUCGUAAAACUCUGUUAUUAGGGAAGAACACAUGUGUAAGUAACUGUGCACAGCUUGACGGUACCUAAACAGAAAGCCACGGCUAACUACGUG
This 497-nucleotide ribosomal RNA is filed under the name uncultured bacterium. RNAcentral's name for it is "partial 16S ribosomal RNA". It matches the Rfam family "Bacterial small subunit ribosomal RNA", at positions 28 to 507 of the family's 1533-position model. The record is from RNAcentral.